Molecule: ribosomal RNA, 460 nt
Filed under: uncultured bacterium
Lineage: Bacteria
Description: partial 16S ribosomal RNA
Rfam family: Bacterial small subunit ribosomal RNA
Source: RNAcentral
CCUACGUGAGGCAGCAGUGAGGAAUAUUGGUCAAUGGGCGGGAGCCUGAACCAGCCAAGUCGCGUGAGGGAAGACGGUCCUAUGGAUUGUAAACCUCUUUAGGCGGGGAGCAAUGCCGGGCACGCGUGCACGGAGGGAGAGUACCCGCAGAAUAAGCAUCGGCUAACUCCGUGCCAGCAGCCGCGGUAAUACGGAGGAUGCGAGCGUUAUCCGGAUUUAUUGGGUUUAAAGGGUGCGUAGGCGGAUUUGUAAGUCAGCGGUAAAAUGUCCGGGCUCAACCCGGGCCGGCCGUUGAAACUGGGGAUCUUGAGUGGGCGAGAAGUAUGCGGAAUGCGUGGUGUAGCGGUGAAAUGCAUAGAUAUCACGCAGAACUCCGAUUGCGAAGGCAGCAUACCGGCGCCCGACUGACGCUGAGGCACGAAAGCGUGGGGAUCGAACAGGAUUAGAUACCCCUGUAGUC